Molecule: ribosomal RNA, 247 nt
Filed under: uncultured bacterium
Lineage: Bacteria
Description: partial 16S ribosomal RNA
Rfam family: Bacterial small subunit ribosomal RNA
Source: RNAcentral
UACAGAGACUGCAAGCGUUAUUCGGAGUUCAACUGGGCGUAAAGGGUGCGCUAGGACGGCCGGGUGUGUCAGAAUCGUGAAAUCCCGAGGCUUAACCUCGGAACUGCGUCUGAAACUACUCGGCUAGAGUAUUGGGAGAGGGUAACGGAAUUCACGGUGUAGCAGUGAAAUGCGUAGAUAUCGUGAGGAACACCAGAGGCGAAGGCGGUUACCUGGACAAUUACUGACGCUCAGGCACGAAAGCGAU